AACGAACGCUGGCGGCAUGCCUAACACAUGCAAGUCGAACGAGAUCUUCGGGUCUAGUGGCGCACGGGUGCGUAACGCGUGGGAAUCUGCCCUUUGGUUCGGAAUAACAGAUGGAAACGACUGCUAAUACCGGAUGAUGACGAAAGUCCAAAGAUUUAUCGCCAGAGGAUGAGCCCGCGUAGGAUUAGCUAGUUGGUGUGGUAAAGGCGCACCAAGGCGACGAUCCUUAGCUGGUCUGAGAGGAUGAUCAGCCACACUGGGACUGAGACACGGCCCAGACUCCUACGGGAGGCAGCAGUAGGUAAUAUUGGACAAUGGGCAAAAGCCUAAUCCAGCAAUGCCGCGUGAGUGAUGAAGGCCUUAGGGUUGUAAAGCUCUUUUACCCGUGAUGAUAAUGACAGUACCGGGAGAAUAAGCUCCGGCUAACUCCGUGCCAGCCGCCGCAGUAA
RNAcentral lists this ribosomal RNA (449 nucleotides) under uncultured bacterium. RNAcentral describes it as "partial 16S ribosomal RNA". It matches the Rfam family "Bacterial small subunit ribosomal RNA", at positions 29 to 523 of the family's 1533-position model. The record is from RNAcentral.